GGGGCAAGUGGAGUGGGGAAUGGCAGCAGCUUCAGAGAUUUCGAGUUCGAGACCCAUCUCUCCACUGAUGUUGGCAGGGUGCGGCGGGCUGGUGCGGCAGGGUGUUCCAGUGUCCUACGCUGAGGGUUCAACACUGUAGGAGACCGAGGUCAGAGGAUCGCCCUGUGGAGUCCAGCCUGGGCAAUUUAGUCAUUUAAGGAGACUCAGUUUCAAAAAGUUAAAGUGCUCGCUCUGCCAGCACAUACACAAAAAAAGUUUUAAAAGGGCAGAGGGGCCUGUAGAUGCAGUCCAGAAGAAGGCCUUGGGUUCAAACUCCAGAACUAUAAAUAAAUAAGCGAAUGUUAUUUGAACAGGUACUUUGUGUACCUACUGACUUAAUUUUAGCAAACAAAAAGACAAUAAGAGAAUAAACAUAA
Cavia porcellus (domestic guinea pig) is the source of this 416-nucleotide long non-coding RNA. RefSeq lists it as uncharacterized. NCBI's taxonomy places the organism in Eukaryota, Metazoa, Chordata, Mammalia, Rodentia, Caviidae. The record is from RefSeq and is a predicted model, not a curated record. The transcript has 2 exons.